Molecule: ribosomal RNA, 253 nt
Filed under: uncultured bacterium
Lineage: Bacteria
Description: partial 16S ribosomal RNA
Rfam family: Bacterial small subunit ribosomal RNA
Source: RNAcentral
UACGGAGGGUGCAAGCGUUAUCCGGAUUCACUGGGUUUAAAGGGUGCGUAGGCGGCCCGGUAAGUCAGUGGUGAAAUCCCUCAGCUUAACUGAGGAAUUGCCAUUGAAACUGCCAGGCUUGAAUACAGUUGAAGUGGGCGGAAUACAACAUGUAGCGGUGAAAUGCUUAGAUAUGUUGUAGAACACCGAUUGCGAAGGCAGCUCACUAAGCUGUGAUUGACGCUGAGGCACGAAAGCGUGGGGAGCGAACAGG